AUAAUAGAGAGUUUGAUCCUGGCUCAGGGUGAACGCUGGCGGCGCGCUUAAUGCAUGCAAGUCGAGCGUGCCUCGGUGACUUCGGUUGCCGGGGACAGCGGCAGACGGCUGAGUAACGCGUGAGUAACCUACCCUUCGGUAUGGUAUAGCCACGGGAAACUGUGGGUAAUCCCGUAUACGACCCCCAAGCCCUGGUUUGGGGAGGAAAGCCUUCGGGCGCCGGAGGAGGGGCUCGCGUCCUAUCAGGUAGUUGGUGGGGUAACGGCCCACCAAGCCGAUGACGGGUAGCUGGUCUGAGAGGACGAUCAGCCAGAGGGGGACUGAGACACGGCCCCCACUCCUACGGGAGGCAGCAGCAGGGAAUCUUGGGCAAUGGGCGAAAGCCUGACCCAGCGACGCCGCGUGGGGGAUGAAGGCCUUCGGGUCGUAAACUCCUUUUCCAGGGGACGAUAAUGACGGUACCUUGGGAAGAAGCCCCGGCUAACUACGUGCCAGCAGCCGCGGUAAAACGUAGGGGGCGAGCGUUACCCGGAAUUAUUGGGCGUAAAGGGCAUGUAGGCGGUUCGGUCCGUCGUUGGUGAAAGGCCUCAGCUUAACUGGGGAGCCGCUAACGAUACCACCAGACUAGAGGGCAGUAGAGGUGAGUGGAAUUCCCGGCGUAGCGUUGAUAUGCGUAGAGUUCGGGAGGAACACCAGUGGCGAAGGCGACUCACUGGGCUGUCCCUGACGCUAAGGUGCGAAAGCGUGGGG
This 750-nucleotide ribosomal RNA is filed under the name Chloroflexota bacterium. RNAcentral describes it as "bacterial SSU rRNA". It matches the Rfam family "Bacterial small subunit ribosomal RNA", at positions 1 to 766 of the family's 1533-position model. Lineage: Bacteria; Bacillati; Chloroflexota. The record is from RNAcentral.